Non-coding RNA from Odocoileus virginianus texanus, 363 nucleotides. The record is from the annotation of a RefSeq genome assembly. Lineage: Eukaryota; Metazoa; Chordata; Mammalia; Artiodactyla; Cervidae.
GCCAUGGCUUUGCAGAGCACUCUGGAAGCAGUGUGGCUGGGUCUCCUCCUCAGCUCUCUCUGGAAGUUUGCAGAGAGCAAGGACCAAGUAUUUCAGCCUUCCACUGUGGUCUCUUUGGAGGGAGCUGUGGCAGAAAUUUCCUGUAAUCACUCUAUAUCCAAUGUUUAUGGCUUCUUCUGGUACCUUCACUUCCCAGGAUUUGCACCAAGACUCCUUAUUAAGGGCUCACGGCCUUCUCAACAGGGACGCUACAACAUGACAUACAAGAGGUUCUCUUUAUCACUGCUCAUCCUCCAGGUGCAGACGGCAGAUGCAGGGGUUUAUUAUUGUGCUCUGAGGUACACAGAAGCAGGGAAUCCAUGA